Molecule: ribosomal RNA, 207 nt
Filed under: uncultured Lachnospiraceae bacterium
Lineage: Bacteria; Bacillati; Bacillota; Clostridia; Lachnospirales; Lachnospiraceae
Description: partial 16S ribosomal RNA
Rfam family: Bacterial small subunit ribosomal RNA
Source: RNAcentral
AGCGUAGACGGCAGGGCAAGUCUGAUGUGAAAGCCCGGGGCUCAACCCCGGGACUGCAUUGGAAACUGUUCGGCUAGAGUGCAGGAGAGGUAAGUGGAAUUCCUAGUGUAGCGGUGAAGUGCGUAGAUAUUAGGAGGAACACCAGUGGCGAAGGCGGCUUACUGGACUGUAACUGACGUUGAGGCUCGAAAGCGUGGGGAGCAAACA